GACGAACGCUGGCGGCGUGCCUAAUACAUGCAAGUAGAACGCACAGGAUGCACCGUAGUUUACUACACCGUAUUCUGUGAGUUGCGAACGGGUGAGUAACGCGUAGGUAACCUGCCUGGUAGCGGGGGAUAACUAUUGGAAACGAUAGCUAAUACCGCAUAAGAACAUUUACUGCAUGGUAGAUGUUUAAAAGGUGCAAAUGCAUCACUACCAGAUGGACCUGCGUUGUAUUAGCUAGUAGGUGAGGUAACGGCUCACCUAGGCGACGAUACAUAGCCGACCUGAGAGGGUGAUCGGCCACACUGGGACUGAGACACGGCCCAGACUCCUACGGGAGGCAGCAGUAGGGAAUCUUCGGCAAUGGGGGGAACCCUGACCGAGCAACGCCGCGUGAGUGAAGAAGGUUUUCGGAUCGUAAAGCUCUGUUGUUAAGGAAGAACGAGUG
Molecule: ribosomal RNA, 445 nt
Filed under: Streptococcus intermedius
Lineage: Bacteria; Bacillati; Bacillota; Bacilli; Lactobacillales; Streptococcaceae
Description: bacterial SSU rRNA
Rfam family: Bacterial small subunit ribosomal RNA
Source: RNAcentral